UUAGGAAUCUUCCGCAAUGGGCGAAAGCCUGACGGAGCGACACCGCGUGUGGGAUGACACUCUUCGGGGCGUAAACCACUUUUCUGAGUGAUGAAAUUCUGACCUUAACUCAGGAAUAAGCAACGGCUAAUCUCGUGCCAGCAGCCGCGGUAAUACGAGAGUUGCAAGCGUUAUCCGGAAUCAUUGGGCGUAAAGCGUCUGUAGUUGGAAAUAUAAGUCUGAUGUAAAAUCAUAGAGCUCAACUCUAUAUGCGUGUUGGAUACUGUAUUUCUGGAGUUACAUAGAGGUACGUGGAAUUUUUCAUGUAGGAGUAAAAUCCGUAGAUAUGAAAAGGAACACCAAAAGCGAAGGCAGCGUACUGGAUGUAUACUGACAAUUAGAGACGAAAGCGUGGGUAGCGAAAGGG
Molecule: ribosomal RNA, 406 nt
Filed under: uncultured bacterium
Lineage: Bacteria
Description: partial 16S ribosomal RNA
Rfam family: Bacterial small subunit ribosomal RNA
Source: RNAcentral